This 221-nucleotide unclassified non-coding RNA is filed under the name Hevea brasiliensis (rubber tree). The record is from RNAcentral. Lineage: Eukaryota; Viridiplantae; Streptophyta; Magnoliopsida; Malpighiales; Euphorbiaceae.
AGAAAGUUAGCUGUGAAAUGGAUUAUUGAAUUCAGAGUGAACAUGGUAUGUGUGUUUGCCAUUAUGGGAAAGGAAAGGUUAGUGCUGUGAGAAGCUUAUGAGUGGAAGAGUUUAAAUUGAUAGCUGGAUAUCUGGUGAUUGCAAUUGUGUGAUACCGAGUUGCAUUAAAUGAAUGAUUCUGGAAAACCUAUCAAAAAGUUCUUCUGUUUCUUUUAUUUUUA